Molecule: long non-coding RNA, 219 nt
Filed under: Brassica napus (rape)
Lineage: Eukaryota; Viridiplantae; Streptophyta; Magnoliopsida; Brassicales; Brassicaceae
Description: long non-coding RNA (BNAP_LNC011442)
Source: RNAcentral
GUAAAAAUAACACAAGGUUCCUAGUAUUAAUCUCCACACAAUCAACACAUUUCACCUCAAACAUGCCUAGCAGUGUGGGUUACACAAAUGCUAUAUGGCCAAAAUAUUAUUAAUACUAAACCCGGUAAAAAUAACACAAGGUUCCUAGUAUUAAUCGCAAAUUAACACAACCAAUCAUAUUCCAGAAUACCUAACUAUCCACAACUUAGCGAUAUCAUC